AAAGGACUGAAGACUUUUCCACAUAAGUGGAAACUUCACUGAAGUUAGGAGAGCUUUGGUAUGAAUUCUUCCUGAAUGACUAAUCAUAUUUUAUCAUUUCAUUAGACUCCACGAGGAAGCAAAAAUGUCAAGAGAUGCUAAUGAGGCCACUUCUACUUUGCACUGUGACCCUGGCACGGCGUGUGCCAGCACCAGUGAGGGGAUAGACUGGAGCAGCUGCCUUCCCCAGGGCCAAGCCAUUAUCGCCCAACUACAGAAAAACCCAGAUCUUCCUGCUGAAUGAUGGCUGAAGAGAGCAAGCACCAUCCCACACACAUCACUCCAGGCACUGUGAAAAGUACUUCUGGUCUUUGGUCCUGUUCUGGGGAGCUCACAUGUGACCCAGGUGUAAUUACAGCCCUCUCAGCCAGCACUGGUGGGAUCUGUGCUGGGACACCUGCGAGCUGGAACGUGUCUCACAGGUUGGAAAAAGUGCUUUAUAGCUACAUGAAAGGGACUGUGCCUAAGCCUGGAAUUACUGACAUCUGUGUAUCAUUUCAGUGGUAA
RNAcentral lists this long non-coding RNA (546 nucleotides) under Zonotrichia albicollis (white-throated sparrow). RNAcentral describes it as "lncRNA (ENSZALG00000004058.1)". The record is from RNAcentral. Lineage: Eukaryota; Metazoa; Chordata; Aves; Passeriformes; Passerellidae.